RNAcentral lists this ribosomal RNA (821 nucleotides) under uncultured bacterium. RNAcentral's name for it is "bacterial SSU rRNA". It matches the Rfam family "Bacterial small subunit ribosomal RNA", at positions 59 to 874 of the family's 1533-position model. The record is from RNAcentral.
AAGUCGAGGGGCAGCACGGGAGUAGCAAUACAACUGGUGGCGACCGGCGCACGGGUGAGUAACGCGUAUGCAACCUACCUAUCAGAGGGGAAUAACCCGGCGAAAGUCGGACUAAUACCGCAUAAAACAGGGGCACCGCAUGGUGAUAUUUGUUAAAGAAAUUCGCUGAUAGAUGGGCAUGCGUUCCAUUAGGUAGUUGGUGAGGUAACGGCUCACCAAGCCGACGAUGGAUAGGGGAACUGAGAGGUUGGUCCCCCACACUGGUACUGAGACACGGACCAGACUCCUACGGGAGGCAGCAGUGAGGAAUAUUGGUCAAUGGGCGGGAGCCUGAACCAGCCAAGUCGCGUGAAGGAAGAAGGAUCUAUGGUUCGUAAACUUCUUUUGCAGGGGAAUAAAGUGCAGGACGUGUCCUGUUUUGUAUGUACCCUGAGAAUAAGGAUCGGCUAACUCCGUGCCAGCAGCCGCGGUAAUACGGAGGAUCCGAGCGUUAUCCGGAUUUAUUGGGUUUAAAGGGUGCGUAGGUGGUUUGAUAAGUCAGCGGUGAAAGUUUGCAGCUUAACUGUAAAAAUGCCGUUGAAACUGUCGGACUUGAGUGUAAAUGAGGUAGGCGGAAUGCGUGGUGUAGCGGUGAAAUGCAUAGAUAUCACGCAGAACUCCGAUUGCGAAGGCAGCUUACUAAGCUACAACUGACACUGAAGCACGAAAGCGUGGGGAUCAAACAGGAUUAGAUACCCUGGUAGUCCACGCAGUAAACGAUGAUUACUAGCUGUUUGCGAUACACAGUAAGCGGCACAGCGAAAGCGUUAAGUAAUCCACCU